UCACAGGUCACAACUACUUCCUCACAAAAAAGAAUAUUUCGCCUGCUCUCUCUGCCCAUCCACGGCCCCAGCUGGCUCAUGGCUUUUCUCUGUUGAGAUUUGUCACUUUGAAUAAUUGGAUGCCACUGUGAUGACAGACCCAGGUCCCUCUUCAAUACCCGUACAUAUUGCUCUCAUCUCUCAAGUUCACACAGAUCAAAGGGGCUCUUCUUCCCUAGGCACUUUUGAGGCUUUGAAUGGGUUCUUGCCUCUUUCAAUCGAUUAACUGAAGAACAUCACUGAAUCAAGAUUAUGCUUAUUUUGGUGUCGCCUGCAUCAGACUUGAGAUCAGAAACCUCGAAUUUUCCACAUAUUAGAUUAUUCAAUUAGUGGGUACGUUCUGGUUUGCUAUGGACUGAUAGAAUGGGUUUCUUGUGAUUUAUUGAGGAAAAAAGUGUGGAUUGUGUGAUGGCUGAAAUGAUUUAGUUACUGGGUUUUUUGGUACUGAAUCUCAAAUGGGCUUGUCAAGUUGUAAGCAUUUGAGAUUCUUUGGCUGCCAUUUGAAUUCCAUGGCAUGCAAAUGCGUUGCUUUGUUUGUCAUUGCUCUGGUUUUUAGAGCUGCUAUGCUCCCCACAUUCUCUGGCUUCGGUGAGGUUGUUCAGAACAGCUUUGGGGUGAUCAACAAGGGUUCAUUAUCCUUAGAUUCAGAGCUCCAAAUGCAGAAAAACAAGUUCUUGGAGGUUCCUCAGAUUGUAUGGGGGUUAAACAAUCAGAAGAUUGCAUUUGCUAGGGCUUGUCUGACUGCAAGAAUGAUGAAGCGAACUCUUUUGAUGCCUAGCCUAAGUGCUUCUCUGUUUUACAAAGAAAUCGAUCUCUUGCAGCCCAUUUCCUUUGAUAAGGUCUUCCAAUUCGAACGGUUUAAUUCACUUUGUAAUGGGUUUGUCAGAUUGGGUCGGUACUCCGAUCUCUCAAAUAGGACACAGGUGUUUGAGCUUCAGAAGGGGAGUGGAAGGAAAUGGACAAUUGAGAGAGAUUUGGAUCAAUUGAGAGAGUUUAGCAAGGAACCAUAUGAUGGAUAUGAGGUGAUUCGAAUACUUGGGAAAAACCCUUUUUUAUGGCAUGACCAUUGGCCUGUCAAGGACUAUGCAAAGGUCUUUGAUUGCUUGGUUUUAGUUGAAGAAAUAUCAAAAGAGGCAGAUAAGGUUGUCUCCAAGAUUAGAGAGAUGGGAAGGAAGGUCGGAAGCAAAGCUGUAUUUUCACUGAAUGCUAGUAAUUCCGAGAGCCCUUCUUCGUUGCCAAUGCCUUACAUAGCCGUACACAUGAGGAUAGAAAAGGAUUGGAUGAUUCACUGUAAGAAGUUAGAGCAAAGAUUCAACAUAAGUCAAAUCUGUAGCAGCAAAGAGGAGAUAAUAGGAAGAGUUGGGAACAUUGCGGGCCUGAAAACUCCAAUGAUUGUCUAUCUUGCAGUGGCUGAUAGUCUUCUUGAAGAUAACUCAAUAUUGAAUGGUUGGAAGGAAGGUUUGCUUCCCUUUGAAAAGAAGAAACUGGGUGUCAUGGGAAUUUACAACAAGUACCCGUAUCUCUUUCAAUCAGCAAUCGACUAUGAAGUGUGCUUGAGGGCCAAUGUCUUUGUUGGCAACAGCUUUUCUACAUUUUCGAGCCUUAUAGCUCUUGAGAGAACACUGAAAAUGAUCAAAAUGGGUAUUACAACAUCAUGUGGCAAGGAUGCAACUUGGCCUUCUUACGCAUAUAACAUAUUAGGCGAAUUGAAUGGCCCUCAGGGAUGGAUGACCAACAUGUCCGACUUAAGCCUUCAUGCAAUUAGCUAUGGUACUAAGGACGUCUCUUGUUGAAUGAUCUUUUUUGUUUCUUCUUCUGGUCCCGGCAUACCUUUAAUCUAGUGGAAAUCGGUUGGUAAGGCUCACAGAUAAGUUAUUUUUGUAUAAAAAUAUAAGUAAAGAAAACCUCAAAUUAGCUGUUUUAGAUGAAGACAGGUAUAGUUAAACAUUUACAUAGAUUCGGAGUUGUUUAAGUUGUUGCUGAAUUUGUUCAUUUAUUUUUCCCAUCCUCAUUCAAUUUGAUGCCAUAUUUAUUUUUUUGGUGUAACCUUUCUGUAGAGAAUGGUAAACUAAAGGGGGUUGUUUGUGGUAUCAUUUAUUUUUUUUGGUCUUUCUUAGCAACCAAAUGGAGCAUAUAUGUAUAGUUUUUGGGCUGUCUUUUGGCUUGUAUAGUUUGGUGGAGACCUUGGACGUUGCAGGGAAAUUGUUAUGAUUGUUUAGAGGAUCAAAAGCCAUCAAGAUCUCCUCAACUACCCUUGUGGGGGGGACUCCAUUCUUAAGACCCCUCUUGUUGGCCACCCGGGAGAGCUGCUUGAGAAAAAAAAAAAUAUUGGAGCAGGGAGAAGGGAACCAGAAAAUGAAAGAGUGAAAGAGGACCUGCCCUUCACCAAUCUCUCCUCCGCCCCUCACCCUGAGACUGCAACGCUCUUCCUCUCCUUCAUCUGCUUCAACACCCACUUCAGUGUGCAGAAUGGGUUGCCGGAGAAUGAUCACCGGGAACCUGGAUCCAGAGGGGAAGAAGUUGGGUUGAAGCCAAGCAAAUUCCAGCCGAAGGAGAGCAUUACCUGGUAAGACUGAUCAGGUUCAUGGAUUAUUACUGAUCAUCAUACUUCUUUUUUUUUUUUUUAAGUGAUUAUUUUGCAUUGUUUGUGAGUUUGUUUUGGUAUGAUCAUUGUGGCUCUCCAUACGUCACUUCUCAACCUUCCAGAUUUGUAUAUUAAUGCUGAAGUUUGUCUUUUCCUUUUUUUUCUUUUCUUACUCUUACAAUGGUUUGUUGUGGCAUGGUCUCAUCUAUUGUUCA
RNA transcript from Vitis riparia (riverbank grape), 2838 nucleotides. It is a transcript of the gene named O-fucosyltransferase 23, with no coding region annotated. The record is from RefSeq and is a predicted model, not a curated record. The transcript has 4 exons. Lineage: Eukaryota; Viridiplantae; Streptophyta; Magnoliopsida; Vitales; Vitaceae.